GAGGGUGCGAGCGUUAAUCGGAAUUUCUGGGCGUAAAGCGCUCGUAGGUGGUAUGUCAAGUCAAGGGUGAAAUCCCCGCGCCCAACGUGGGAACUGCCUUUGAAACUGGCAGACUGGAGUGUGUGAGAGGAUAGUGGAAUUCCAGGUGUAGGAGUGAAAUCCGUAGAUAUCUGGAGGAACAUCAGUGGCGAAGGCGACUAUCUGGCACAUAACUGACACUGAGGAGCGAAAGCGUGGGUAGCAAA
RNAcentral lists this ribosomal RNA (245 nucleotides) under uncultured bacterium. RNAcentral describes it as "partial 16S ribosomal RNA". It matches the Rfam family "Bacterial small subunit ribosomal RNA", at positions 528 to 772 of the family's 1533-position model. The record is from RNAcentral.